RNAcentral lists this ribosomal RNA (252 nucleotides) under uncultured bacterium. Its description in RNAcentral is "partial 16S ribosomal RNA". It matches the Rfam family "Bacterial small subunit ribosomal RNA", at positions 524 to 776 of the family's 1533-position model. The record is from RNAcentral.
UACGGAGGAUGCGAGCGUUAUCCGGAUUUAUUGGGUUUAAAGGGUGCGCAGGCGGCACGGCAAGCCGGCGGUAAAAUCGCGGGGCUCAACCCCGCCCAGCCGUCGGAACUGCCGGGCUAGAGUGGGCGAGAAGUGCGCGGAAUGCGUGGUGUAGCGGUGAAAUGCAUAGAUAUCACGCAGAACUCCGAUUGCGAAGGCAGCGCACCGGCGCCCUACUGACGCUCAGGCACGAAAGCGUGGGUAUCGAACAGG